RNAcentral lists this ribosomal RNA (800 nucleotides) under uncultured ciliate. RNAcentral's name for it is "SSU rRNA". It matches the Rfam family "Eukaryotic small subunit ribosomal RNA", at positions 48 to 978 of the family's 1831-position model. The record is from RNAcentral. Lineage: Eukaryota; Ciliophora.
GCCAUGCAUGUCUAAGUAUAAAUAACUACACAGUGAAACUGCGAAUGGCUCAUUAGAACAGUUAUAGUUUAUUUGAUACAUUAAAUGGAUAACUGUAGGAAACUAGAGCUAAUACAUGCCUAGGCCGUAAGACUGCAUUUAUUAGAUAUACCAAGACGGUGAAUCAUAAUAACUUAGCGAAUCGAAACAACGUUUCGAUAAAUCAUUCAAGUUUCUGACCUAUCAUGCUCCGCUGGUAGUGUAUUGGACUACCAAGGCAGUCACGGGUAACGGAGAAUUAGGGUUCGAUUCCGGAGAAGGAGCCUGAGAAACGGCUACUACAUCUAAGGAAGGCAGCAGGCGCGUAAAUUACCCAAUCCUAAAUCAGGGAGGUAGUGACAAGAUAUAACAACGUGAUUAAAUGUCGCGAUUGUAGUGAGGGUAUUCUAAAAAUAGCUUCGAGUACGAUUGGAGGGCAAGUCUGGUGCCAGCAGCCGCGGUAAUUCCAGCUCCAAUAGCGUAUAUUAAAGUUGUUGCAGUUAAAAAGCUCGUAGUUGGAUUUCAAGAAACGCAUCUGGGUAACCAGUAUGCUUUCUGCCAGUCUUUGACUGUUACUGUGAGAAAAUUAGAGUGUUUCAAGCAGGCAAUUGCAGGAAUACAUUAGCAUGGAAUAACGAAUGUGUCUACAAUAUGGUUAAUUGUAGAUUACAAUUAAUAGGGACAGUUGGGGGCAUUAGUAUUUAAUUGUCAGAGGUGAAAUUCUUGGAUUUGUUAAAGACUAACGUAUGCGAAAGCAUUUGCCAAGGAUGUUUUCAUUAAUC